This 492-nucleotide ribosomal RNA is filed under the name uncultured bacterium. RNAcentral describes it as "partial 16S ribosomal RNA". It matches the Rfam family "Bacterial small subunit ribosomal RNA", at positions 29 to 507 of the family's 1533-position model. The record is from RNAcentral.
AGUGAACGCUGGCGGUAGGCCUAACACAUGCAAGUCGAACGGCAGCACAGUAAGAGCUUGCUCUUACGGGUGGCGAGUGGCGGACGGGUGAGGAAUACAUCGGAAUCUACUUUUUCGUGGGGGAUAACGUAGGGAAACUUACGCUAGUACCGCAUACGACCUACGGGUGAAAGCAGGGGAUCUUCGGACCUUGCGCGAUUGAAUGAGCCGCUGUCGGAUUAGCUAGUUGGCGGGGUAAAGGCCCACCAAGGCGACGAUCCAUAGCUGGUCUGAGAGGAUGAUCAGCCACACUGGAGCUGAGACACGGUCCAGACUCCUACGGGAGGCAGCAGUGGGGAAUAUUGGGCAAUGGGCGCAAGUCUGAUCCAGCCAUACCGCGUGGGUGAAGAAGGCCUUCGGGUUGUAAAGCCCUUUUGUUGGGAAAGAAAAGCAGCAGGUUAAUACCCCGCUGUUCUGACGGUACCCAAAGAAUAAGCACCGGCUAACUUCGUG